UACGAAGGGGGCUAGCGUUGUUCGGAAUUACUGGGCGUAAAGCGCACGUAGGCGGAUAUUUAAGUCAGGGGUGAAAUCCCGGGGCUCAACCUCGGAACUGCCUUUGAUACUGGGGAUCUCGAGUCCGAGAGAGGUGAGUGGAAUUCCGAGUGUAGAGGUGAAAUUCGUAGAUAUUCGGAGGAACACCAGUGGCGAAGGCGGCUCACUGGCUCGGUACUGACGCUGAGGUGCGAAAGCGUGGGGAGCAAACAGG
This 253-nucleotide ribosomal RNA is filed under the name uncultured bacterium. Its description in RNAcentral is "partial 16S ribosomal RNA". It matches the Rfam family "Bacterial small subunit ribosomal RNA", at positions 524 to 776 of the family's 1533-position model. The record is from RNAcentral.